RNAcentral lists this ribosomal RNA (497 nucleotides) under uncultured bacterium. Its description in RNAcentral is "partial 16S ribosomal RNA". It matches the Rfam family "Bacterial small subunit ribosomal RNA", at positions 28 to 507 of the family's 1533-position model. The record is from RNAcentral.
GAUGAACGCUGGCGGCGUGCCUAAUACAUGCAAGUCGAGCGAACGGACGAGAAGCUUGCUGCUCUGACGUUAGCGGCGGACGGGUGAGUAACACGUGUAUAACCUACCUAUAUUACUGGUAUCACUUCGGGAAACCGGAUCUUAUACCGUAUAAUAUCUUGAACCGCAUGGUUCAAUAGUGAAAGACGGUCUUGCUGUCACUUAUAGAUGGAUCCGCGCUGCAUUAGCUAGUUGUUAAGGUAACGGCUUACCAAGGCGACGAUGCAUAGCCGACCUGAGAGGGUGGUAGGCCACACGGGAACUGAGACACGGUCCAGACGACUACGGGAGGCAGCAGUAGGGAAUGUGACGCAAUGGGCGAAAGCCUGACGGAGCAAGGCCGCGUGAGUGAUGAAGGUCUUCGGAUCGUAAAACUCUGUUAUUAGGGAAGAACAGAUGUGUAAGUAGAUGUGCACAUAGUGACGGUACCUAAUCAGAAAGCCACGGCUAACUACGUG